GGUUAAGCGACUAAGCGUACACGGUGGAUGCCCUGGCAGUCAGAGGCGAUGAAGGACGUGCUAAUCUGCGAUAAGCGUCGGUGAGGUGAUAUGAACCGUUAUAACCGGCGAUUUCCGAAUGGGGAAACCCAGUGUGUUUCGACACACUAUCAUUAACUGAAUCCAUAGGUUAAUGAGGCGAACCGGGGGAACUGAAACAUCUAAGUACCCCGAGGAAAAGAAAUCAACCGAGAUUCCCCCAGUAGCGGCGAGCGAACGGGGAGGAGCCCAGAGCCUGAAUCAGUGUGUGUGUUAGUGGAAGCGUCUGGAAAGGCGCGCGAUACAGGGUGACAGCCCCGUACACAAAAAUGCACAUAUUGUGAGCUCGAUGAGUAGGGCGGGACACGUGGUAUCCUGUCUGAAUAUGGGGGGACCAUCCUCCAAGGCUAAAUACUCCUGACUGACCGAUAGUGAACCAGUACCGUGAGGGAAAGGCGAAAAGAACCCCGGCGAGGGGAGUGAAAAAGAACCUGAAACCGUGUACGUACAAGCAGUGGGAGCCUCUUAAUGGGGUGACUGCGUACCUUUUGUAUAAUGGGUCAGCGACUUAUAUUCUGUAGCAAGGUUAACCGAAUAGGGGAGCCGAAGGGAAACCGAGUCUUAACUGGGCGUUAAGUUGCAGGGUAUAGACCCGAAACCCGGUGAUCUAGCCAUGGGCAGGUUGAAGGUUGGGUAACACUAACUGGAGGACCGAACCGACUAAUGUUGAAAAAUUAGCGGAUGACUUGUGGCUGGGGGUGAAAGGCCAAUCAAACCGGGAGAUAGCUGGUUCUCCCCGAAAGCUAUUUAGGUAGCGCCUCGUGAAUUCAUCUCCGGGGGUAGAGCACUGUUUCGGCAAGGGGGUCAUCCCGACUUACCAACCCGAUGCAAACUGCGAAUACCGGAGAAUGUUAUCACGGGAGACACACGGCGGGUGCUAACGUCCGUCGUGAAGAGGGAAACAACCCAGACCGCCAGCUAAGGUCCCAAAGUCAUGGUUAAGUGGGAAACGAUGUGGGAAGGCCCAGACAGCCAGGAUGUUGGCUUAGAAGCAGCCAUCAUUUAAAGAAAGCGUAAUAGCUCACUGGUCGAGUCGGCCUGCGCGGAAGAUGUAACGGGGCUAAACCAUGCACCGAAGCUGCGGCAGCGACACUGUGUGUUGUUGGGUAGGGGAGCGUUCUGUAAGCCUGUGAAGGUGGCCUGUGAGGGUUGCUGGAGGUAUCAGAAGUGCGAAUGCUGACAUAAGUAACGAUAAAGCGGGUGAAAAGCCCGCUCGCCGGAAGACCAAGGGUUCCUGUCCAACGUUAAUCGGGGCAGGGUGAGUCGACCCCUAAGGCGAGGCCGAAAGGCGUAGUCGAUGGGAAACAGGUUAAUAUUCCUGUACUUGGUGUUACUGCGAAGGGGGGACGGAGAAGGCUAUGUUGGCCGGGCGACGGUUGUCCCGGUUUAAGCGUGUAGGCUGGUUUUCCAGGCAAAUCCGGAAAACCAAGGCUGAGGCGUGAUGACGAGGCACUACGGUGCUGAAGCGACAAAUGCCCUGCUUCCAGGAAAAGCCUCUAAGCAUCAGGUAACAUCAAAUCGUACCCCAAACCGACACAGGUGGUCAGGUAGAGAAUACCAAGGCGCUUGAGAGAACUCGGGUGAAGGAACUAGGCAAAAUGGUGCCGUAACUUCGGGAGAAGGCACGCUGAUAUGUAGGUGAAGCGACUUGCUCGUGGAGCUGAAAUCAGUCGAAGAUACCAGCUGGCUGCAACUGUUUAUUAAAAACACAGCACUGUGCAAACACGAAAGUGGACGUAUACGGUGUGACGCCUGCCCGGUGCCGGAAGGUUAAUUGAUGGGGUUAGCGGUAACGCGAAGCUCUUGAUCGAAGCCCCGGUAAACGGCGGCCGUAACUAUAACGGUCCUAAGGUAGCGAAAUUCCUUGUCGGGUAAGUUCCGACCUGCACGAAUGGCGUAAUGAUGGCCAGGCUGUCUCCACCCGAGACUCAGUGAAAUUGAACUCGCUGUGAAGAUGCAGUGUACCCGCGGCAAGACGGAAAGACCCCGUGAACCUUUACUAUAGCUUGACACUGAACAUUGAGCCUUGAUGUGUAGGAUAGGUGGGAGGCUUUGAAGUGUGGACGCCAGUCUGCAUGGAGCCGACCUUGAAAUACCACCCUUUAAUGUUUGAUGUUCUAACGUUGGCCCGUAAUCCGGGUUGCGGACAGUGUCUGGUGGGUAGUUUGACUGGGGCGGUCUCCUCCUAAAGAGUAACGGAGGAGCACGAAGGUUGGCUAAUCCUGGUCGGACAUCAGGAGGUUAGUGCAAUGGCAUAAGCCAGCUUGACUGCGAGCGUGACGGCGCGAGCAGGUGCGAAAGCAGGUCAUAGUGAUCCGGUGGUUCUGAAUGGAAGGGCCAUCGCUCAACGGAUAAAAGGUACUCCGGGGAUAACAGGCUGAUACCGCCCAAGAGUUCAUAUCGACGGCGGUGUUUGGCACCUCGAUGUCGGCUCAUCACAUCCUGGGGCUGAAGUAGGUCCCAAGGGUAUGGCUGUUCGCCAUUUAAAGUGGUACGCGAGCUGGGUUUAGAACGUCGUGAGACAGUUCGGUCCCUAUCUGCCGUGGGCGCUGGAGAACUGAGGGGGGCUGCUCCUAGUACGAGAGGACCGGAGUGGACGCAUCACUGGUGUUCGGGUUGUCAUGCCAAUGGCACUGCCCGGUAGCUAAAUGCGGAAGAGAUAAGUGCUGAAAGCAUCUAAGCACGAAACUUGCCCCGAGAUGAGUUCUCCCUGAGACUUAGAGUCUCCUGAAGGAACGUUGAAGACGACGACGUUGAUAGGCCGGGUGUGUAAGCGCAGCGAUGCGUUGAGCUAACCGGUACUAAUGAACCGUGAGGCUUAACCUU
Molecule: ribosomal RNA, 2904 nt
Filed under: Escherichia coli
Lineage: Bacteria; Pseudomonadati; Pseudomonadota; Gammaproteobacteria; Enterobacterales; Enterobacteriaceae
Description: 23S ribosomal RNA
Rfam family: Bacterial large subunit ribosomal RNA
Source: RNAcentral